GACGAACGCUGGCGGCGUGCCUAAUACAUGCAAGUUGAGCGCUGAAUGUUGGUACUUGUACCAACUGGUUGAGCAGCGAACGGGUGAGUAACGCGUGGGGAAUCUGCCUUUGAGCGGGGGACAACAUUUGGAAACGAAUGCUAAUACCGCAUAAAAACUUUAAACACAAGUUUUAAGUUUGAAAGAUGCAAUUGCAUCACUCAAAGAUGAUCCCGCGUUGUAUUAGCUAGUUGGUGAGGUAAAGGCUCACCAAGGCGAUGAUACAUAGCCGACCUGAGAGGGUGAUCGGCCACAUUGGGACUGAGACACGGCCCAAACUCCUACGGGAGGCAGCAGUAGGGAAUCUUCGGCAAUGGACGAAAGUCUGACCGAGCAACGCCGCGUGAGUGAAGAAGGGUUUCGGAUCGUAAAACUCUGUUGGUAGAGAAGAACGUUGGUGAGAGUGGAAAGCUCAUCAAGUGACGGUAACUACCCAGAAAGGGACGGCUAACUACGUG
This 497-nucleotide ribosomal RNA is filed under the name uncultured bacterium. RNAcentral describes it as "partial 16S ribosomal RNA". It matches the Rfam family "Bacterial small subunit ribosomal RNA", at positions 28 to 507 of the family's 1533-position model. The record is from RNAcentral.